RNAcentral lists this long non-coding RNA (317 nucleotides) under Setaria viridis. Its description in RNAcentral is "long non-coding RNA (SVIR_LNC004113)". The record is from RNAcentral. Lineage: Eukaryota; Viridiplantae; Streptophyta; Magnoliopsida; Poales; Poaceae.
GAGAAGAUCAUACAAAUUCUUGCAUUUGAUUUUGGGGAGAAGAUUACACAGAUUGUUUCCUAUCAAGAAGGGGAAUUGCAACAAAUUCUAGCAUUGCAUUUUGGAAAGAAGUUCUUAAAUUGGUUCAUGUCAAUAGGGUGAGUUGCAUUUCAUUGUGGCAUCUCUUCAAAGGGAUCUUGCGAUAUUUGUGCUCUCUUUUGCUCUUUUGCAAGUCAUGUUGAGCUUUUUACCUCUUCUUGAGGAGCUGGCAUUUGGUUUGAGCUUUAGAUCUUCACAUGAUUGGUGCUGAGCCCUUUAUGCCUCUUCUUGAGGUAUCA